UACUCCUACGGGAGGCAGCAGUGGGGAAUAUUGGACAAUGGGGGCAACCCUGAUCCAGCAAUGCCGCGUGUGUGAAGAAGGCCUGAGGGUUGUAAAGCACUUUCAGUGGGGAGGAGGGGAGAUUGGUUAAGAGCUGAUUUUCUGGACGUUACCCACAGAAGAAGCACCGGCUAGCUCCGUGCCAGCAGCCGCGGUAAU
RNAcentral lists this ribosomal RNA (198 nucleotides) under uncultured bacterium. Its description in RNAcentral is "partial 16S ribosomal RNA". It matches the Rfam family "Bacterial small subunit ribosomal RNA", at positions 334 to 524 of the family's 1533-position model. The record is from RNAcentral.